UCCUACCUCUAAAGAGCUUUCCGUGCUCCUG
RNAcentral lists this non-coding RNA (31 nucleotides) under Mus musculus (house mouse). The record is from RNAcentral. Lineage: Eukaryota; Metazoa; Chordata; Mammalia; Rodentia; Muridae.